This is a long non-coding RNA of Centruroides sculpturatus (bark scorpion), 403 nucleotides long. RefSeq lists it as uncharacterized. The transcript has 3 exons. NCBI's taxonomy places the organism in Eukaryota, Metazoa, Arthropoda, Arachnida, Scorpiones, Buthidae. The record is from RefSeq and is a predicted model, not a curated record.
UUGAUGUGAAUGCAAAAUAAUAUAUAUUUCAAGUCAUAAUUUAUCUGAGAGUAAUGAAAUACAUUUCUAUUAUUUAGUUUCGAGAAGGAAACAACUUUUCUCUUCCAAUCAGCUUAUUAGAACCAAGAUCUUCUCUUGAUAAAUUUGCUGAUAGUUUCCUUCAUAUUGAUAUUCUCAGCGAAGCUGCUAUAGAAAAAGACCCAUUGACAAGAAUGAAAUUAGUUGUUAAAUGGUAUUUGUCAGGAUUUUAUCUCCAAUCAAAAAGUCUUAAAAAGCCAUAUAUUCCAAAAAUGGGUGAAGCAUUUCGAUGCUUUUGGUACCAUCCAAAAACAGAUAGUAAGACAUUUUUUUUAGCAGAACAGAUAUCUGAUAAACCUCAAGAAGUUGCCAUUCAUAUUAUCAA